GACGAACGCUGGCGGCGUGCCUAAUACAUGCAAGUCGAACGCUUCUUUCCUCCCGAGUGCUUGCACUCAAUUGGAAAGCGGAGUGGCGGACGGGUGAGUAACACGUGGGUAACCUACCCAUCAGAGGGGGAUAACACUUGGAAACAGGUGCUAAUACCGCAUAACAGUUUAUGCCGCAUGGCAUAAGAGUGAAAGGCGCUUUCGGGUGUCGCUGAUGGAUGGACCCGCGGUGCAUUAGCUAGUUGGUGAGGUAACGGCUCACCAAGGCCACGAUGCAUAGCCGACCUGAGAGGGUGAUCGGCCACACUGGGACUGAGACACGGCCCAGACUCCUACGGGAGGCAGCAGUAGGGAAUCUUCGGCAAUGGACGAAAGUCUGACCGAGCAACGCCGCGUGAGUGAAGAAGGUUUUCGGAUCGUAAAACUCUGUUGUUAGAGAAGAACAAGGACGUUAGUAACUGAACGUCCCCUGACGGUAGCUAGCCAGAAAGCCACGGCUAACUACGUG
RNAcentral lists this ribosomal RNA (508 nucleotides) under uncultured bacterium. RNAcentral's name for it is "partial 16S ribosomal RNA". It matches the Rfam family "Bacterial small subunit ribosomal RNA", at positions 28 to 507 of the family's 1533-position model. The record is from RNAcentral.